UACGUAGGGGGCUAGCGUUGUCCGGAUUUAUUGGGCGUAAAGAGCGUGUAGGCGGCCAAGUAGGUCCGGUGUGAAAACUCGAGGCUUAACCUCGAGAUGUCAUCGGAAACCAUUUGGCUAGAGUCCGGAAGAGGAAAGUGGAAUUCCUGGUGUAGCGGUGAAAUGUGUAGAGAUCGGGAGGAACACCGGUGGCGAAGGCGGUCUUCUGGACGGUGACUGACGCUGAGGCGCGAAAGCGUGGGGAGCAAACGGG
This 253-nucleotide ribosomal RNA is filed under the name uncultured bacterium. RNAcentral describes it as "partial 16S ribosomal RNA". It matches the Rfam family "Bacterial small subunit ribosomal RNA", at positions 524 to 776 of the family's 1533-position model. The record is from RNAcentral.